This 622-nucleotide long non-coding RNA is filed under the name Urocitellus parryii (Arctic ground squirrel). RNAcentral describes it as "lncRNA (ENSUPAG00010009415.1)". The record is from RNAcentral. Lineage: Eukaryota; Metazoa; Chordata; Mammalia; Rodentia; Sciuridae.
CGUCCUCGAACUGGAUGAGGAGCAGGAUGGGUGCCAGGUCCCCUCAUCAGAGAGACUGCACCUGACAUUCUCUCCUGGGGCCACAUGAGCAUUCACCUCUCAGCACAUCGUGGAGACGAAGCAGGUGAUUUCUUCAACCUCAGCAUUCCGUAGUUCCGGUGGCCGUGGGUGCUGGGGGCACCCCACAGGGUGGGCACCUCUCAGCUCUCCCCAGGGCCUUUGCACCUGACUACACAUGUCUGCUGCCUGACCCCGUGCAGAGCCCAGUGUACACCCCACACCUCAGAUGACCCCAGCUGGCGGAGCCAUCGGGAAACAGCCAGGGAGCUGCUCCAGCAGCUGAGCCUGUGGACACGGAUGCUGGAGCCACCCAGAGAGAAGGCUGGCACACAGGGGCCUGGCCUAUCCAGGAGCCCCAUGAUCCUCCCUGCCCAGGACCUGCCAGGCUCUGCCAGCUCUGGUCAAUGCCAGAAAACAUCUGGGCCCUGGUCAGCUGGACAUUUCUCUUCUGUCUGAGUGGUAGGUCCACAAGCCCUGAGCGCUUGAGGGACCCUAGGGUGCUCCUGAAACUGCUGCCCUGACGGCUACCUGUGUCCAGCCCRUGGAGGGCAGGCCUGGCCUG